RNAcentral lists this ribosomal RNA (981 nucleotides) under Pseudomonas sp. HPC965. Its description in RNAcentral is "bacterial SSU rRNA". It matches the Rfam family "Bacterial small subunit ribosomal RNA", at positions 30 to 1054 of the family's 1533-position model. Lineage: Bacteria; Pseudomonadati; Pseudomonadota; Gammaproteobacteria; Pseudomonadales; Pseudomonadaceae. The record is from RNAcentral.
UUGACGCUGGCGGCAGGCCUAUCACAUGCAUUUCGAGCGGAUGAAGAGAGCUUGCUCUCUGAUUUAGCGGCGGACGGGUGAGUAAUGCCUAGGAAUCUGCCUGGUAGUGGGGGAUAACGUUCCGAAAGGAACGCUAAUACCGCGUACGUCCUACGGGAGAAAGCAGGGGACCUUCGGGCCUUGCGCUAUCAGAUGAGCCUAGGUCGGAUUAGCUAGUUGGUGAGGUAAUGGCUCACCAAGGCGACGAUCCGUAACUGGUCUGAGAGGAUGAUCAGUCACACUGGAACUGAGACACGGUCCAGACUCCUACGGGAGGCAGCAGUGGGGAAUAUUGGACAAUGGGCGAAAGCCUGAUCCAGCCAUGCCGCGUGUGUGAAGAAGGUCUUCGGAUUGUAAAGCACUUUAAGUUGGGAGGAAGGGCAGUAAGUUAAUACCUUGCUGUUUUGACGUUACCGACAGAAUAAGCACCGGCUAACUUCGUGCCAGCAGCCGCGGUAAUACGAAGGGUGCAAGCGUUAAUCGGAAUUACUGGGCGUAAAGCGCGCGUAGGUGGUUCGUUAAGUUGGAUGUGAAAGCCCCGGGCUCAACCUGGGAACUGCAUCCAAAACUGGCGAGCUAGAGUACGGUAGAGGGUGGUGAAUUUCCUGUGUAGCGGUGAAAUGCGUAGAUAUAGGAAGGAACACCAGUGCGAUGCGACCACCUGGACUGAUACUGACACUGAGGUGCGAAAGCGUUGGGAGCAACAGAUUAGAUACCCUGUAGUCCACGCCGUAAACGAUGUCACUAGCCGUUGAAUCCUUGAAAUUUACUGGCGCACCUACGCAUAGUGACCGCUGGGGAGUACGCCGCAGUUAACUCAAUGAUUGACGGGUCGCCAGCGGUGGACAGUGUUAUUCGAGCACCCGAAACUUACUGCUGCAUGCUAGAACUUCCGAAUGAUGUGCCUCGGACUCAACGUCUGUAUGCUGUCUCACUCAGUCG